AUAUCAUUGACUAAAACUGUGAUUCUUAUCUCCUGAUCACUUGUUGACUUGGAAUAUUCAAGAUUUGCUCUUUAUGGCACUAUAUAUAAACUAGAUUAGCAUCAUAUCUUCACUUCCAACUCUACUUGUGUAUUAUGACACUAUAUCUGUGCCAGAUCAACAUCUUAUCAUUGUUUUAAUGAACCCUCCCUCUUCCUAUUUUUGGCAAGGGUACCAUAUGUCUACAUUUACAGCGGCACCAUGCUUCUCAUCCUGUCAAUGCUUCUCCUAACUCUCUUCUUCCUCUUCUUUCUUUUCCACCAUUUCUUCUUGCAUGCUAAUAGCUCUAAGCGUCCUCCUGGAUGCUUUGGUUGGUUCCUGUUCAUCAGCCAGACGCUGUCCUUCAUUUCUCCGCAUGUCUCCUCCUCGAGAGGCCAGUUCCUUGAAGACAACAUUCAGCGGUAUGCCAUAUGAUCAAAUGUACGGAUUAUUAUUCUGAUCAUAUUCUGUCACUUUCUGCUUUUGAUUUUGAGAUAGCUAUGGAAACAUCUUUCAAUCACAUCUCUUUGCGCAUCCAAUGGUGGUUUCAUGCGAUGAUGAGUUCAACCAGUUCAUUCUCAACAAUGAGGAUAGACCGGUUGUAAGAUGUUAUUCCUAGAGCAUUCAUGGUGUAUUAGAAGACCUCACUCUUCUUGGCCAGACUGGAGCUUCCCACAGACGUCUCUGAGCUGUGUCGCUUUCCUUCUUCACUGCCAUGAAAACUCAGAUCUCUAGCCUCUCAGACAUCGAACAAGUUGCUCUCCAAGUCUUGAACUCAUGGAAGAUCAAGAAAACUUUGUCCUUGUUUGAUGAGGCUCGUAAGUUUGCUUUCUGUGUGACAGUCAAACAGACACUUAACCUGGAACCAGAGCAUCCAGUGACUGGAGAAACGUGUACACAUAGUUAUUGAAGAAAGGAUGGACUUUCUAGACAUAUUGCUAGCUCACAAGGAUCUAUCAAUGGAGGAGAGACAUAGCUUGGUUGUCGAUAUCCUGUUUGGAGGGUAUGAAACCACAUCUAGCCUGAUAUCGAUCAUUGUGAUGUUUCUCUCCGACAACCCAAAGGCACUGAAUGCUCUCAAGGAUGAACAGAAAUCAUUGCGGAAAGUAGGUGGUGAGAGGUUAGGAAGUGAUGAUUACAAGAAAUGCGCUUCACUCGGUGCCUCAUCAAUGAAGGGCUUCGCAUAGGGAACAUAGUGAAGUUUGUUCAUCGUCAAGUCAUCAAGCCUUUUCAGUACAAAGGAUAUGAUUUUCCUAAAGGGUGGAAGGUCCCUCCAGUGUUCAAUGCUGCUGUUCAUUUGGACUCCUCUCUCUAUCCAGAUCCCUUCAAGUUUGAUCCUUGGAGAUGGCAUUCAAGUACAUGGAGGACAAGGUCUAUGAGAGCAGAAUUCACAUUCGCUGUUAGCCUCAGACUGAUUUGCUGAACUUCUGAUGAUGGCGCAGACGC
Dioscorea cayenensis subsp. rotundata (Guinea yam) is the source of this 1464-nucleotide long non-coding RNA. RefSeq lists it as uncharacterized. The record is from RefSeq and is a predicted model, not a curated record. The transcript is spliced from 6 exons. NCBI's taxonomy places the organism in Eukaryota, Viridiplantae, Streptophyta, Magnoliopsida, Dioscoreales, Dioscoreaceae.